UACGAAGGGGGCUAGCGUUGUUCGGAAUCACUGGGCGUAAAGCGCACGUAGGCGGAUCGGUAAGUCAGAGGAGAAAGCCCGGGGCUCAACCCCGGAAUUGCCUUUGAAACUACCAAUCUAGAGACUCGGAGGGGACAGUGGAAUUCCUAAUGUAGGGGUGAAAUCCGUAGAUAUUAGGAGGAACACCAGCGGCGAAGGCGGCUGUCUGGACGAGUACUGACGCUGAGGUGCGAAAGCGUGGGGAGCAAACAGG
RNAcentral lists this ribosomal RNA (253 nucleotides) under uncultured bacterium. RNAcentral describes it as "partial 16S ribosomal RNA". It matches the Rfam family "Bacterial small subunit ribosomal RNA", at positions 524 to 776 of the family's 1533-position model. The record is from RNAcentral.